GCCAGGUGUGGUGGCGCAAGCCUGUAAUCCUAGCUGCUUGGGAGGCUGAGGCAGAAGGAUGGUGAGUUCAAAGCCAGCCUCUG
Molecule: small RNA, 83 nt
Filed under: Marmota monax (woodchuck)
Lineage: Eukaryota; Metazoa; Chordata; Mammalia; Rodentia; Sciuridae
Source: RNAcentral